RNAcentral lists this transfer RNA (78 nucleotides) under Paraburkholderia largidicola. Its description in RNAcentral is "Paraburkholderia sp. F2 tRNA-Ser". Lineage: Bacteria; Pseudomonadati; Pseudomonadota; Betaproteobacteria; Burkholderiales; Burkholderiaceae. The record is from RNAcentral.
GCAUGCGGUGGAAUACGGUAGUCAUGCGCUCUCCUUGAGUGAGCGGAAGCCAGCGACGUUCAGGCCGCCGUGCGUGCA